CGAACCCCAGGAGUGAGGGCGCACAGCCGGGACGAGGAAGCGGCGGUCGGAAACCCCGCACCAGCGCUGCCAGCUUGCGGUCCGACGUGGGCUCAGCGCCCUGGGCGCGGUGCAUGUAGAUUCUCCGAGAGCUGUCAGUUGGAUCUGGCCAAAAGCCUGUUGUUCUGACAGGGGCUCAUUGAUGUUGGUCAAAAGACAGAGGUG
RNAcentral lists this long non-coding RNA (204 nucleotides) under Ailuropoda melanoleuca (giant panda). Its description in RNAcentral is "lncRNA (ENSAMEG00000024525.1)". The record is from RNAcentral. Lineage: Eukaryota; Metazoa; Chordata; Mammalia; Carnivora; Ursidae.